RNAcentral lists this ribosomal RNA (497 nucleotides) under uncultured bacterium. Its description in RNAcentral is "partial 16S ribosomal RNA". It matches the Rfam family "Bacterial small subunit ribosomal RNA", at positions 28 to 507 of the family's 1533-position model. The record is from RNAcentral.
GAUGAACGCUGGCGGUAUGCCUAAUACAUGCAAGUCGAGCGAACGGACGAGAAGUUUUCUCUUCUGAUGUUAGCGGCGGUCAGGAGAGUACCACGUGGUCAACCCACCUACAAGACUGGGUUAACUUUGGCGGACCUGAGCUAAUACCGGAUAAUAUUUUCCUCCACAUGGUCUAGAAGUGAAUGACGUUCUUGCUGUCACUUAUAGACGGCUCCGCACUGCUUUAUCUAGUUGGUAAGGUAACGGCUUACCAAAGCGACGAUGCAUGGCCGACCUGAGAGGGUGCACUGCCACACUGGAGCUGAGAACCGGCCCAGACUCCUACGGGAGGCAGCAGUAGGGAAUCUUCCGGAAUGGGCGAAAGCCUGACGGAGCAACGGCGCGUGAGUGAUGAAGGUCUUCGGAUCGUAAAACUCUGUUAUUAGGGAAGAACAUAUGUGUAAGUAACUGUGCACAUCUUGACGGUACCUAAGCAAAAAGCCACGGCUAACUACGUG